Molecule: RNase P RNA, 367 nt
Filed under: Chloroflexota bacterium
Lineage: Bacteria; Bacillati; Chloroflexota
Description: Chloroflexi bacterium RNase P RNA component class A
Rfam family: Bacterial RNase P class A
About the family: Ribonuclease P (RNase P) is a ubiquitous endoribonuclease, found in archaea, bacteria and eukarya as well as chloroplasts and mitochondria. Its best characterised activity is the generation of mature 5'-ends of tRNAs by cleaving the 5'-leader elements of precursor-tRNAs.
Source: RNAcentral
CCAGCAGACCGGGCGAUCGCUUCGAUUUGAUCGGAGAGGAAGGUCCGAGCUCCUCCGGGCAGCGCACUGGGUAACGCCCAGGCGCCGACUGCGCAAGCAGCCGGGGACGGAAAGUGGCACAGAAACAUACCCCCCGACUUGUCGGGGAAGGGUGAAAUGGCGGGGCAAGAGCCCACCGGCGGUAGUGCGAGCUACCGGCCGGCCAAACCCUGCGCGGAGCAAGGCCAAAUAGGAGGGUGCCAAGGGUGCCCGGCCCAAACCCUCGGGUUGGCCGCUUGAGGCCCUGAGCAAUCCGGGUCCCAGAUUGAUGAUCGUCCUCCCCGACUCGUCGGGGAGACAGAACUCGGCCUACAGGUCUGCUGGACUU